AACGAACGCUGGCGGCAUGCCUAACACAUGCAAGUCGAACGAGACCUUCGGGUCUAGUGGCGCACGGGUGCGUAACGCGUGGGAACCUGCCCUUAGGUUCGGAAUAACUCCCCGAAAGGGGUGCUAAUACCGGAUAAUGUCUUCGGACCAAAGAUUUAUCGCCUUUGGAUGGGCCCGCGUUGGAUUAGCUAGUUGGUAGGGUAAAAGCCUACCAAGGCGACGAUCCAUAGCUGGUCUGAGAGGAUGAUCAGCCACACUGGGACUGAGACACGGCCCAGACUCCUACGGGAAGCAGCAGUGGGGAAUAUUGGACAAUGGGCGAAAGCCUGAUCCAGCAAUGCCGCGUGAGUGAUGAAGGCCUUAGGGUUGUUAAGCUCUUUUACCCGGGAUGAUAAUGACAGUACCGGGAGAAUAAGCUCCGGCUAACUCCGUG
This 433-nucleotide ribosomal RNA is filed under the name uncultured bacterium. RNAcentral describes it as "partial 16S ribosomal RNA". It matches the Rfam family "Bacterial small subunit ribosomal RNA", at positions 29 to 507 of the family's 1533-position model. The record is from RNAcentral.